ACUUGGCACCCCUUACGCCUUACGGUGGCCGCUGCGCCCAGUCACAUCUGAGCGGAGAAUUUAAUAGGCAAGAAAGAAGGAAGAAGGCUGAAGGAAGAAGCUCCCCACUACAGAGACAGACGGAGGGGGCUCCCAAGACGAAAGAGGAGACCCCCAUUCUAGAUGUUCUUAACCCUUUGAGGGCAAAGCUCUCCGUUUAAUGCCUUGCACAUAUCAGGUUGCCAACAACAUGGUGUGGUUUAUCAAUUGUGAUAGGUUACUUAUUCGAGCCCCUGUUUACAAGAGUUUUAGAUUGCAUUUCUCUGGAAUGACCACAGCAAUAUUUCCAGCCCUUGAUGAUCUUCUAGAACUUUGCCACUUCCCUGCAUCAAGAGGUAAAAUCCAUUUCUAUUCUCUUGAAUUGAACAGCUUCAAUGAAUUGAGUGCUGAAGAAUUAACACUCUGUGACUUCAUGACUUGUUGGAAAUUGUGAGGAAUCUCAGGCCACAUGGAGGGGCCAGUGAAGAUGUUCCAGCUUAUAGCCCCAGCUAAGGUUUCAACUAAUAGCCAGACUCAACCACCAGGUAUAUGAAUGAACCUUCAGAUGAUUCUAGUCUCCAGCCUUCAAGCUUCCCCAGUCGAUGCUGAGUGGAGCAAAAAAAGGAAUUAUUCUCACUGAGCCCUGUCCAAAUUGCAAAUACCUGACAAAAAUAAAUAUUGUUGUUUUAAGCCACUAAAUUUUGGAGGAACUUGUUAUGCAAUCAUAAAAACAGAUUUUGUUAUCUGGAAGUGAGUGCCAUGUAACAGAAAUCUAAAAUGUGGUAGUGGCUGAAGCUAGACUAGACAGGAUUAGGCAGGACUAGACAGAGGGCAGAAGGUGAGAGGGCCUUCAGGUGACUGUGGAAGGCUGAUGGACCUCAAGGAGGCUAUCAGAGAGGGUUUAGAGGAG
This 928-nucleotide long non-coding RNA is filed under the name Homo sapiens (human). RNAcentral describes it as "HSALNT0376509". Lineage: Eukaryota; Metazoa; Chordata; Mammalia; Primates; Hominidae. The record is from RNAcentral.